This 413-nucleotide ribosomal RNA is filed under the name uncultured bacterium. RNAcentral's name for it is "bacterial SSU rRNA". It matches the Rfam family "Bacterial small subunit ribosomal RNA", at positions 110 to 518 of the family's 1533-position model. The record is from RNAcentral.
GUAACACGUACUCCAACCUUCCCAUAACUCAGGGAUAGCCUUUCGAAAGAAAGAUUAAUACCUGAUAGUACUUUUUUCAAGGCAUCUUGAGAAAGUUAAAGAUUUAUUGGUUAUGGAUGGGGAUGCGUUCCAUUAGAUAGUUGGUGAGGUAACGGCUCACCAAGUCUUCGAUGGAUAGGGGUUCUGAGAGGAAGGUCCCCCACAUUGGUACUGAGACACGGACCAAACUCCUACGGGAGGCAGCAGUGAGGAAUAUUGGUCAAUGGGCGAGAGCCUGAACCAGCCAAGUAGCGUGAAGGAAUGAAGGUCCUAUGGAUUGUAAACUUCUUUUAUAGUAGAAUAAAGUGAUCCACGUGUGGAUUUUUGUAUGUAUACUAUGAAUAAGGAUCGGCUAACUCCGUGCCAGCCGCCGC